Molecule: ribosomal RNA, 598 nt
Filed under: embryophyte environmental sample
Lineage: Eukaryota; Viridiplantae; Streptophyta
Description: eukaryotic LSU rRNA
Rfam family: 5.8S ribosomal RNA (bases 179-334)
Source: RNAcentral
GGUCGGGGAACCCCGUGCCGCCCGUCUGGCCACAAACCAUUCGAAGCGACCGUGGCAACCUCGUCCGUAAACCGAACCCCGGCGCGGAAUGUGCCAAGGAACUGAAACCAAAGAGCGUCGCCGGCCGCCUCGGACACGAUGUGCGUGCCGGCGUCGACGUCUUGUAUUUAUCCAAAACGACUCUCGGCAACGGAUAUCUCGGCUCUCGCAUCGAUGAAGAACGUAGCGAAAUGCGAUACUUGGUGUGAAUUGCAGAAUCCCGUGAAUCAUCGAGUCUUUGAACGCAAGUUGCGCCCGACGCCAUUCGGCCGAGGGCACGUCUGCCUGGGUGUCACGCACCGUUGCCCCCAAACGCCCCCGCCUCGCAAGGGGCGCGGGAUCUCGUUUGGUGGCGGAAGUUGGCCUCCCGUGGGCCUGUGCUCGCGGUUAGCCUAAAAAGGAGUCCUCGGCGACGAGCACCACGACAAUCGGUGGUUGAUUAGACCUCGGUCCCCGUCGUGCGUGUCUGGUCGCCACAAGGUGUGACUCGUCGACCCUAACGCGUCGUACCCACGUCGCUCCCAACGCGACCCCAGGUCAGGCGGGACUACCCGCUGAG